AGUGAACGCUGGCGGCGUGCCUAAUACAUGCAAGUCGAACGAAGUGGCGCACGGGUGAGUAAUAUAUAGUUAAUCUGCCCUACACAGAGGAACAACAGUUGGAAACGACUGCUAAUACCUCAUAGUGUAGGAUUAGACUAUAUCGUAUCAGCAAGUUGGUAAGGUAAUGGCUUACCAAGGCUAUGACGCGGAACUGGUCGGAGAGGAUGAUCAGUGACAUUGGAACUGAGACACGGUUCAACAGCCUACGGGAGGGAGCAGUAAGGAAUAAUGCGCACUGGGGGAAACCCUGACGCGGCAUCGCCGCGUGGAGGAUGACUCUUUUCGGAGAGUAAACUCCUUUUAUCAGGAAAGCGGUACCUGAUGAAUAAGCACCGGCUAACUCCGUGCCAGCCGCCGCGGUAAUAC
This 408-nucleotide ribosomal RNA is filed under the name uncultured bacterium. RNAcentral's name for it is "partial 16S ribosomal RNA". It matches the Rfam family "Bacterial small subunit ribosomal RNA", at positions 29 to 526 of the family's 1533-position model. The record is from RNAcentral.